CAACUGUCGCUACUUAAUUCAACAUCUUUAACAUGCAAUUCAUGGCCAGUAAAUUGCAAGAAUGAACACCAAAAUCAUCAAAUUGCAAUUAACAAGAAUAGUCAAUACAACCAUGAUCAAAUCAUAUAAAGAAUUCAAUCACUACAUCUUAACCCUAGAAUAUGGAACUUAGCAAAUCAUGACUAAUAAAAUUAUCCAAUUAUUCCGAAUCAACAUUCUACAAUUAAAGAAAUUGAGAGAGAAAAAGAACUCUAGAAGUUGGAGAAAUCCUUAGCCAGUGCUUCUUUCAAUAUCCUUCGUCAAUUCCCUUUUCGUUCUCCCCUUAAUCUAAUCUCCUUCCCUUAAAAAAAAUAAAAAAUAAAAAAAAUGGAUUUCCAUCAUAUAUGUUGGUGAAAAUCAAAACUCCCCGCAGAUUUCUCUUCCCAAAACAAAAUUACCUCUUUCCAGCUCUUAAAUUGCGGGAUUCUUGGCGGAUUUUAUUACCUAGCUUCCAACUAGAUUUUGAUGACACAACCUCACAAAAGUUUUAGAUCUCGUCCUCAACUUUCCAACGCACCUGGGCUUGCUUUAUUUCGACUUUUAGAACUCCAGAUACAGGCCAAAAACAGAAGCUGAGUCAGGCGGUAGUGAAUUCUGGACAGAUUAGGAGUUCUCUGCUUUUGAUAGGAUUUGAUCUUUUAAACGGCGGAACUGGGUUUUGACCUCUUCAUAAAAGUUUUAGGUGGCCUUAACUUUCUAACAAGCCAACAACACCUAAAAUGGAGAUUUGUAGCUCCAAUUAGAAACUAAAAACCAAAUAGUGUUCGGAUUUGACGGGCAGCCCAAUUAAAAU
This 832-nucleotide long non-coding RNA is filed under the name Olea europaea subsp. europaea. The record is from RNAcentral. Lineage: Eukaryota; Viridiplantae; Streptophyta; Magnoliopsida; Lamiales; Oleaceae.